Molecule: ribosomal RNA, 253 nt
Filed under: uncultured archaeon
Lineage: Archaea
Description: partial 16S ribosomal RNA
Rfam family: Archaeal small subunit ribosomal RNA
Source: RNAcentral
CACAGGUAGCACGAGUGGUGUCCACGAAUAUUGAGCUUAAAGCGUCCGUAGCCGGCUAGGCAAGUUUCCUGUGAAAUCUUUCGGCUCAACCGAAUAGGCUUGCAGGGAACACUACUUGGCUCGGGAGUGGGGGAGGUAAGAGGUACGUUAGGGGGAGCGGUAAGAUGCAUUAAUCCUUAACGGACCACCAGUGGCGAAGGCGUCUUACCAAAACACGUCCGACGGUGAGGGACGAAGGCUAGGGGAGCAAAUC